UACGUAGGGUCCGAGCGUUGUCCGGAAUUACUGGGCGUAAAGAGCUCGUAGGUGGUUUGUCGCGUUGUUCGUGAAAACUCACAGCUUAACUGUGGGCGUGCGGGCGAUACGGGCAGACUUGAGUACUGCAGGGGAGACUGGAAUUCCUGGUGUAGCGGUGGAAUGCGCAGAUAUCAGGAGGAACACCAAUAGCGAAGGCAGCUCGCUGGGACGUGACUGACACUAAGGCGCGAAAGCGUGGGGAGCGAACAGG
This 253-nucleotide ribosomal RNA is filed under the name uncultured bacterium. RNAcentral describes it as "partial 16S ribosomal RNA". It matches the Rfam family "Bacterial small subunit ribosomal RNA", at positions 524 to 776 of the family's 1533-position model. The record is from RNAcentral.